This 253-nucleotide ribosomal RNA is filed under the name uncultured bacterium. Its description in RNAcentral is "partial 16S ribosomal RNA". It matches the Rfam family "Bacterial small subunit ribosomal RNA", at positions 524 to 776 of the family's 1533-position model. The record is from RNAcentral.
UACGUAGGAGGCGAGCGUUGUCCGGAGUUACUGGGCGUAAAGGGUGCGUAGGCGGCCGCCUGCGUGCGGGGUGAAAUCUCCCGGCUCAACCGGGAGGGGGCCGCGGAGACGGGGCGGCUUGAGGCGCGGAGAGGGGCGUGGAAUUCCGGGUGGAGCGGUGAAAUGCGUAGAUAUCAGGAGGAACACCUGUGGUGUAGACGGCUCUCUGGACCGCAACUGACGCUGAGACACGAAAGCGUGGGUAGCAAACAGG